UACGGGGGGGGCAAGCGUUGUUCGGAAUUACUGGGCGUAAAGGGCUCGUAGGUGGCCAACUAAGUCAGACGUGAAAUCCCUCGGCUUAACCGGGGAACUGCGUCUGAUACUGGAUGGCUUGAGUUCGGGAGAGGGAUGCGGAAUUCCAGGUGUAGCGGUGAAAUGCGUAGAUAUCGUAAGGAAGACCAGUGGCGAAGGCGGGUCUCUGGACAGUUCCUGACGCUGAGGCACGAAGGUCAGGGGAGCAAACGGG
RNAcentral lists this ribosomal RNA (253 nucleotides) under uncultured bacterium. RNAcentral's name for it is "partial 16S ribosomal RNA". It matches the Rfam family "Bacterial small subunit ribosomal RNA", at positions 524 to 776 of the family's 1533-position model. The record is from RNAcentral.